ACUCAAAGGAAUUGACGGGGGCCCGCACAAGCGGCGGAGCAUGUGGAUUAAUUCGAUGCAACGCGAAGAACCUUACCUGGGCUUGACAUGGACUAGAAAUCCUCAGAGAUGAGGGCUCCCUUGUGGCUGGUUCACAGGUGGUGCAUGGCUGUCGUCAGCUCGUGUCGUGAGAUGUUGGGUUAAGUCCCGCAACGAGCGCAACCCUCGUUCUAUGUUGCCAGCGCGUGAUGGCGGGGACUCAUAGGAGACUGCCGGGGUCAACUCGGAGGAAGGUGGGGAUGACGUCAAGUCAUCAUGCCCCUUAUGUCCAGGGCUUCACACAUGCUACAAUGGCCGGUACAAAGGGCUGCUAAACCGUGAGGUGGAGCGAAUCCCAUAAAGCCGGUCUCAGUUCGGAUCGGGGUCUGCAACUCGACCCCGUGAAGUCGGAGUCGCUAGUAAUCGCAGAUCAGCAACGCUGCGGUGAAUACGUUCCCGGGCCUUGCACACACCGCCCGU
This 498-nucleotide ribosomal RNA is filed under the name uncultured bacterium. Its description in RNAcentral is "partial 16S ribosomal RNA". It matches the Rfam family "Bacterial small subunit ribosomal RNA", at positions 899 to 1397 of the family's 1533-position model. The record is from RNAcentral.